AACAGUUUGAGUUCAAUAAAUAUUUUAAUAUAUAAAUAGAAUAAAUAUGAAUAAAUAGCAAGAAGCUGAGUUUACAUGAUUAUAUGUAUUUCUUUUUUGGUCUGCUUGAAAGUGCAGGUAUUCUAAAAUACUUUUAUUGUGGUAUAGUCAUCUCCUAGGUGACGGGUUUGUUUUUUCACUCUCGAGACUCCACUUGAAUGAUAUUGAUUAGACGUUACUGAUAAUCCUCUUAAGAAAAUGAAUACUAACUUUAGCUAACUCUAAUCUAACUUUUUCUAAAUCUAUUGAUCGUAUUGAAUCAUCUUACCUUUCCUUAUACCUAUUUUUCUACUGAUUGUUGAAGACCUGUGUUGUUUGAACCUCGAACUCCGAUUGGUUUUUUAUGUACACUGGAACACUGGAUGGCGAGUCAGUCCCCUUGGAUCGAUUGAACUGUUCUACCCUUUCAUACUGGAUAACCAACCCCUUGAACUGCCCUUUCAUACUGGAUAACCAACCCCUUGAACUGCCCUUUCAUACUGGAUAACCAACCCCUUGGAUCUGUUCCCUGGAUACAGAUAAGCCUUCACACAUACACUGACAUUGUACACUCACACCACCUUACCCGGGUAUUUCUUUUCUUUUGGACAUUUGAGUUUUUUACUAUUGAUUUGAUACUUUGAAUUUUUAAGAGCUCUUUUAUUAUUUUAUAGGGUUUUGUAUUUAUUUACUAUUUAUUUUCUAUUUACUAGUAUUUCCUCUUCUUUUCUCAUAGAGAAAAGAUAUUCUUGCAUUUAAUAAACCUGCAUUAUUUAUUUAUAACAUUUUACAUACUGGUGUCCUUGUCAAUUUACUCCCCCCUUAAUGCCGAACCUAGAACUGGCCUAAACUUAACAGUAACUCAUAGAAGCACCUCCUUUUACUUUAAAGUGCAAUUUAUUAUUAAGUAGAGUAGAGGGGUGCUACACAUGCAUUA
Alosa sapidissima (American shad) is the source of this 955-nucleotide long non-coding RNA. RefSeq lists it as uncharacterized. The record is from RefSeq and is a predicted model, not a curated record. NCBI's taxonomy places the organism in Eukaryota, Metazoa, Chordata, Actinopteri, Clupeiformes, Clupeidae. The transcript has 2 exons.